ACAAAGGCUCUUUUAAGAGCCACCCACCUUCAAACCUAAGAGUGU
Molecule: non-coding RNA, 45 nt
Filed under: Xyrichtys novacula (pearly razorfish)
Lineage: Eukaryota; Metazoa; Chordata; Actinopteri; Labriformes; Labridae
Rfam family: Histone 3' UTR stem-loop
About the family: The mRNAs of metazoan histone genes lack a poly-A tail.
Source: RNAcentral